GGGGACGUAGCGAAGCUAGUGGUCUUACUACAAGCUAGUAAGACCGGACAAGUAUCGCGCCGGGCUCCAGACUCGGUGUCACCUCUGCCUGCAGCAGGGUGUCCGAAAAUCGCCGGUUCAAAUCCGGCCGUCCCCA
Molecule: transfer RNA, 136 nt
Filed under: Candidatus Heimdallarchaeota archaeon
Lineage: Archaea; Promethearchaeati; Candidatus Heimdallarchaeota
Description: tRNA-Trp
Rfam family: tRNA
About the family: Transfer RNA (tRNA) molecules are approximately 80 nucleotides in length. Their secondary structure includes four short double-helical elements and three loops (D, anti-codon, and T loops).
Source: RNAcentral